GACGAACGCUGGCGGCGUGCCUAAUACAUGCAAGUAGAACGCACAGUUUAUACCGUAGCUUGCUACACCAUAAACUGUGAGUUGCGAACGGGUGAGUAACGCGUAGGUAACCUGCCUGGUAGCGGGGGAUAACUAUUGGAAACGAUAGCUAAUACCGCAUAAUAUUGAUUAUUGCAUGAUAAUUGAUUGAAAGAUGCUAUUGCAUCACUACCAGAUGGACCUGCGUUGUAUUAGCUAGUAGGUGAGGUAACGGCUCACCUAGGCGACGAUACAUAGCCGACCUGAGAGGGUGAUCGGCCACACUGGGACUGAGACACGGCCCAGACUCCUACGGGAGGCAGCAGUAGGGAAUCUUCGGCAAUGGACGAAAGUCUGACCGAGCAACGCCGCGUGAGUGAAGAAGGUUUUCGGAUCGUAAAGCUCUGUUGUAAGAGAAGAACGGGUGUGAGAGUGGAAAGUUCACACUGUGACGGUAUCUUACCAGAAAGGGACGGCUAACUACGU
This 504-nucleotide ribosomal RNA is filed under the name uncultured bacterium. RNAcentral describes it as "partial 16S ribosomal RNA". It matches the Rfam family "Bacterial small subunit ribosomal RNA", at positions 28 to 506 of the family's 1533-position model. The record is from RNAcentral.